GCCCGCGUGGUGAAAUGGUAGACACACGAGACUUAAAAUCUCUUGCUCUUCGGGGCGUGCCGGUUCGAGUCCGGCCGCGGGCA
This 83-nucleotide transfer RNA is filed under the name Limimaricola soesokkakensis. RNAcentral describes it as "tRNA-Leu". It matches the Rfam family "tRNA". Rfam says of the family: Transfer RNA (tRNA) molecules are approximately 80 nucleotides in length. Their secondary structure includes four short double-helical elements and three loops (D, anti-codon, and T loops). Lineage: Bacteria; Pseudomonadati; Pseudomonadota; Alphaproteobacteria; Rhodobacterales; Paracoccaceae. The record is from RNAcentral.